CUUAGUGGCGGACGGGUGAGUAACGCGUGGGUAACCUGCCCUAUACAGGGGGAUAACACUUAGAAAUAGGUGCUAAUACCGCAUAAGCGCACGGGGCUGCAUGGCCCAGUGUGAAAAACUCCGGUGGUAUAAGAUGGACCCGCGUCUGAUUAGCUGGUUGGCGGGGUAAAGGCCCACCAAGGCGACGAUCAGUAGCCGGCCUGAGAGGGUGGACGGCCACAUUGGGACUGAGACACGGCCCAAACUCCUACGGAAGGCAGCAG
This 263-nucleotide ribosomal RNA is filed under the name uncultured bacterium. RNAcentral's name for it is "partial 16S ribosomal RNA". It matches the Rfam family "Bacterial small subunit ribosomal RNA", at positions 91 to 354 of the family's 1533-position model. The record is from RNAcentral.